Molecule: long non-coding RNA, 2550 nt
Organism: Amphibalanus amphitrite
Lineage: Eukaryota; Metazoa; Arthropoda; Thecostraca; Balanomorpha; Balanidae
Exons: 4
Source: RefSeq, a predicted model, not a curated record
GAGUUGAUCUGUCAUACAGACACGGCGACGCCUGUGAGCUGUGAAUCGUCAAACGAUCUCAUCGAGACGCACAUAUAUUGCCGUACAUGGUGUAGAAGAUAUCUGAAAUCAAUAUGUCAGUACCGUGAUGUGUUGUGUCUCGCAAUACGGCCGGCAACUACAGCGGACUUGUUCUUGGCUGGUUACUCGACCGCCACUAGCAACGGCGGCAAAUGGCCUGCGAGGCGGGUUCGGAAGAUGAAGAGCAGCUGAAUCUAGCCAUCGCCCAGUCCCUCUCAGAGGAAGAGCAACUGACCCUAGCUAUCGCACUGUCCGCCUCUGAGGAGGAAGCGCAGCUGAAUGAAGCUGUCGCCGCCUCCCUAACGGAGGAGGAAGAGCAAUCCAAUGAAGCCGUCGCUACGUUCCAACCGGAGGAGCAGCCCACGUCAAGAACAGAGGCAACUUCUUCAGGGGUGGAAACAACGACCAACCAGGAUGAGGACUGCCUGCUAGCCACUGUUAUGGCCAUGUCUCAGCUGGAUGUGAAUGCGCCUUCACCCGGAACAGAGUCAGCCCCGCACGCUCGCUCGUCUGAUGCUCUGCAAAGCGAGCUGAACUGUCCCGUCUGCCUAGAACUACUCAACAAAGCCACGACCCUCGGCUGUGGGCACACCUUCUGCGCCGACUGCGUAGGAAGAUCACGCAGCGGAAACAACAAGUGUCCAAUGUGCCGAAAGCCAAUCAACUCUACUGUCCACUGCAUCACGCUGGACAAUGUUAUCAAAGCACUCGCUGCCAGGGAUAGACGUCUACCUAACCAACGCAUUAGAAAAGAUUUAUAGGAGACACAGCAGGACAUCUUCACCUAGAACUGAUGACCGUGGCUCAUUCCCUGGUGACAUGUGACCAUGAGUCAUGACCAAACACAGUGUCACCGUAGUAACCAGACCCGAGGGAGAGUGCAGCAAACUAGUCUCGCGGCCUUACACUGCGUCUGGUCGGUUUUUAUCAGCCGCUGUUCAGUGUUCACUGCUCAGCAGCCAAGAGAGACAAGAUCAGUCUGAGAGGCUGAAGUGACAGCAGCGGCAACAGGGCUUCACCGCCGGUAUAAGACAGAUAUUGACGUCAUUUGGUGGGUAACUUUGUCAGCUGAUCGAUCAAAACCGGUCAGGUGUGCGCUCAUUAUGGUGAUUAGUGGCAUUGAGCGGCACACUAGCGAGGGCCACCACUGUCUGUCUGCUCUCCACGGGAAGGUGUGGCAGAGCGAUUAGGAGGGGGAGGGAGAGGGGUUGCAGACCGUUCAGAGGGGUGAUUCAGGACUAGUCUUUGCUGAGAGACCAAAAUCGGUAGCAUUUCGGCUUUACUUUAUGACGUUUAAACGGUGUAGAAGAAUCAGAAUAGUUAACGUUUAACCACAAGUAGUUGAGGUUAAGUUAACCGUUAACUAAACGAAUCAACAAAAAUGCUUCAAUCCAUAUGGGUAGAAGCUAUUUGUGUGAUAUAAAAUGUAUUCGGUAUAUUUUUUCCUGUCUGAGGUAACUGAACGUCGCCACCAUAUUUUCAGCAGUUCAUUUUUUCCAUUGCUGCUCAAAUCUUGUAAAGACGGACAACCAGGCUGCGUUUCAUUCCAGCGCCACUCCAUUCCUAAUCUGUUAGCUAUACACAGCUUCUGAAGAUACCGACUCAAAGACUCCCGCGUAUCCAAACCUGGUAAACUAAUCGGGAGCCACCCUCAUCAGCGCAGUAGCCAAUCAGGCCCAAUUAGACCAACUGCCUAAUCAUCAGGCAUCUGACGCUGCCUGCCCGGCACGACCCGGCGGCAUUGCGUAUAACGGAAACCCGCGGCCCACAGCAGAGGUCCAGACCUGCAGUGGGCUGGUCUGGUCCCGACUAUAGCCUAGUCUCUGGUCCAGACCAGUGGUCUGGUCUGGUCGUAGAGCGGCUGGGGCGUCGUCAGUGUCACUGUCGACAGGGGAUCUCUCUCUCUCUCUCUCUCUCUCUCUCUCUCUCUCUCUCUCUCUCUCUCUCUCUCUCUCUCUCUCUCUCUCUCUCUCUCUCUCUCUCUCUCUCUCUCUCUCUCUCUCUCUCUCUCUCUCCCUCUCUCUCUCUCCCUCAGGGGGAACUGACAUCGAGGCUCUCAUUCAUCAUCAGGGGACUGAUGGACAUGACAAGUUUGACAUGGAACCACGCCACUGAGCGCGACAGUGAUAACGUAAUUGAAAGGGUGAUGUCAAACAGCGCCUAACACGCCGGACGGGUUGGAGACGAAAUAUGACACCCGAUACGAGGCUCAGGCGCGAAGAAGCUGAAUUUAUUAAUGUCGUUAUCUUCGCUCCGAGGGUUUGUGAUUGAAUUACGGGGUAAGCCGUUAGCAGGGCGCCACACUGUGGACACAUGACACGCAUAAUCUAACAAAUGAGGUAACUAGGAACAUAAAGACUGUCGCUAUUUUAGCUUCAAAUAAGCUAAGAGUUGAUCUCGCCAAAAAUCUGGAUUUUUUUCUUUUUUCAUUCUUUGACUUUCACGUUUUUGUAUGUCAUAUGAUGAAAAUAAAACAUAAACAAAACGCCA